CCUACGGGUGGCUGCAGUCGAGAAUCUUUCGCAAUGGGCGCAAGCCUGACGAAGCGACGCCGUGUGAGCGAAGAAGGCCUUCGGGUUGUAAAGCUCUUUCGCUAGGGAACAAGAAAGGAGUAUUAAUAACACUCCAAUUUGAGGGUACUUGGUAAAGAAGCACCGGCUAACUCCGUGCCAGCAGCUGCGGUAAUACGGAGGGUGCAAGCAUUGAUCGGAAUUACUGGGCGUAAAGGGCGCGUAGGCGGCCUGAUUAGUCAGAUGUGAAAUUCCACGGCUCAACCGUGGAGCUGCAUUUGAAACUGUCAAGCUAGAGCGUAGUUAGGGAAAACGGAAUUCCACAUGUAGCGGUGAAAUGCGUAGAUAUGUGGAGGAACACCGGUGGUGAAGACGGUUUUCUGGGCUAUGGCUGACGCUGAGGCGCGAAAGCUAGGGGAGCAAACAGGAUUAGAUACCCUAGUAGUC
RNAcentral lists this ribosomal RNA (465 nucleotides) under uncultured Chlamydia sp. RNAcentral's name for it is "bacterial SSU rRNA". It matches the Rfam family "Bacterial small subunit ribosomal RNA", at positions 338 to 795 of the family's 1533-position model. Lineage: Bacteria; Pseudomonadati; Chlamydiota; Chlamydiia; Chlamydiales; Chlamydiaceae. The record is from RNAcentral.